ACCCUCGGGUUGACCCUU
This 18-nucleotide small nuclear RNA is filed under the name Arabidopsis thaliana (thale cress). Its description in RNAcentral is "snRNA_10577". The record is from RNAcentral. Lineage: Eukaryota; Viridiplantae; Streptophyta; Magnoliopsida; Brassicales; Brassicaceae.